GGUAACACUGAAUGGAGGACCGAACCGACUUACGUUGAAAAGUGAGCGGAUGAACUGAGGGUAGCGGAGAAAUUCCAAUCGAACCUGGAGAUAGCUGGUUCUCUCCGAAAUAGCUUUAGGGCUAGCCUCAAGUGAUGAUUAUUGGAGGUAGAGCACUGUUUGGACGAGGGGCCCCUCUCGGGUUACCGAAUUCAGACAAACUCCGAAUGCCAAUUAAUUUAACUUGGGAGUCAGAACAUGGGUGAUAAGGUCCGUGUUCGAAAGGGAAACAGCCCAGACCACCAGCUAAGGUCCCAAAAUAUAUGUUAAGUGGAAAAGGAUGUGGCGUUGCCCAGACAACUAGGAUGUUGGCUUAGAAGCAGCCAUCAUUUAAAGAGUGCGUAAUAGCUCACUAGUCGAGUGACACUGCGCCGAAAAUGUACCGGGGCUAAACAUAUUACCGAAGCUGUGGAUUGUCCUUUGGACAAUGGUAGGAGAGCGUUCUAAGGGCGUUGAAGCAUGAUCGUAAGGACAUGUGGAGCGCUUAGAAGUGAGAAUGCCGGUGUGAGUAGCGAAAGACGGGUGAGAAUCCCGUCCACCGAUUGACUAAGGUUUCCAGAGGAAGGCUCGUCCGCUCUGGGUUAGUCGGGUCCUAAGCUGAGGCCGACAGGCGUAGGCGAUGGAUAACAGGUUGAUAUUCCUGUACCACCUAUAAUCGUUUUAAUCGAUGGGGGGACGCAGUAGGAUAGGCGAAGCGUGCGAUUGGAUUGCACGUCUAAGCAGUAAGGCUGAGUAUUAGGCAAAUCCGGUACUCGUUAAGGCUGAGCUGUGAUGGGGAGAAGACAUUGUGUCUUCGAGUCGUUGAUUUCACACUGCCGAGAAAAGCCUCUAGAUAGAAAAUAGGUGCCCGUACCGCAAACCGACACAGGUAGUCAAGAUGAGAAUUCUAAGGUGAGCGAGCGAACUCUCGUUAAGGAACUCGGCAAAAUGACCCCGUAACUUCGGGAGAAGGGGUGCUCUUUAGGGUUAACGCCCAGAAGAGCCGCAGUGAAUAGGCCCAAGCGACUGUUUAUCAAAAACACAGGUCUCUGCUAAACCGUAAGGUGAUGUAUAGGGGCUGACGCCUGCCCGGUGCUGGAAGGUUAAGAGGAGUGGUUAGCUUCUGCGAAGCUACGAAUCGAAGCCCCAGUAAACGGCGGCCGUAACUAUAACGGUCCUAAGGUAGCGAAAUUCCUUGUCGGGUAAGUUCCGACCCGCACGAAAGGCGUAACGAUUUGGGCACUGUCUCAACGAGAGACUCGGUGAAAUCAUAGUACCUGUGAAGAUGCAGGUUACCCGCGACAGGACGGAAAGACCCCGUGGAGCUUUACUGUAGCCUGAUAUUGAAAUUCGGCACAGCUUGUACAGGAUAGGUAGGAGCCUUUGAAACGUGAGCGCUAGCUUACGUGGAGGCGCUGGUGGGAUACUACCCUAGCUGUGUUGGCUUUCUAACCCGCACCACUUAUCGUGGUGGGAGACAGUGUCAGGCGGGCAGUUUGACUGGGGCGGUCGCCUCCUAAAAGGUAACGGAGGCGCUCAAAGGUUCCCUCAGAAUGGUUGGAAAUCAUUCAUAGAGUGUAAAGGCAUAAGGGAGCUUGACUGCGAGACCUACAAGUCGAGCAGGGUCGAAAGACGGACUUAGUGAUCCGGUGGUUCCGCAUGGAAGGGCCAUCGCUCAACGGAUAAAAGCUACCCCGGGGAUAACAGGCUUAUCUCCCCCAAGAGUUCACAUCGACGGGGAGGUUUGGCACCUCGAUGUCGGCUCAUCGCAUCCUGGGGCUGUAGUCGGUCCCAAGGGUUGGGCUGUUCGCCCAUUAAAGCGGUACGCGAGCUGGGUUCAGAACGUCGUGAGACAGUUCGGUCCCUAUCCGUCGUGGGCGUAGGAAAUUUGAGAGGAGCUGUCCUUAGUACGAGAGGACCGGGAUGGACAUACCUCUGGUGUACCAGUUGUCGUGCCAACGGCAUAGCUGGGUAGCUAUGUGUGGACGGGAUAAGUGCUGAAAGCAUCUAAGCAUGAAGCCCCCCUCAAGAUGAGAUUUCCCAACUUCGGUUAUAAGAUCCCUCAAAGAUGAUGAGGUUAAUAGGUUCGAGGUGGAAGCAUGGUGACAUGUGGAGCUGACGAAUACUAAUCGAUC
RNAcentral lists this ribosomal RNA (2153 nucleotides) under Staphylococcus aureus. RNAcentral describes it as "partial 23S ribosomal RNA". It matches the Rfam family "Bacterial large subunit ribosomal RNA", at positions 755 to 2910 of the family's 2925-position model. Lineage: Bacteria; Bacillati; Bacillota; Bacilli; Caryophanales; Staphylococcaceae. The record is from RNAcentral.